CUGCUAUCUGUCUUAGACUAAGUCAUGCAAGUCAAAGGGCUUCGGCCCUUGGCGAAAAACUGAGGAAAAGGUCGUCAACCUACCCUGCAGUCGGGGAUAACCACGGGAAACUGUGGAUAAACCCCGAUAGGUGUGGAAACUUGGAAAAGCCCAACACCAAAACGUAAGGCUGCAGGAUGGGACUGCCCCCGAUUAUGCUCGUAGGCGAGGUAAUGGCUCACCUAGGCGAUGAUCGGUACCGGCUCUUAGCGGAGUGGCCGGCAGGCGGGAACUGAGAUAAAGUCCCGGCCCCUACGGGGUCCAGCAGACGCGAAAACUACACAAUGCACGAAAGUGUGAUGUGGUGAGGCAGAGUGCCACUCUAACGGGUGGCUGUCCUGGACAGUAAAUACGUCCAGAAGAAAGGAGAGGGCAAGGAUGGUGCCAGCAGCCGCGGUAAAACCAUCUCUCCGAGUGGACCGAUAUACUGGGUCUAAAGCGUGUGCAGCUGGAACGGAAAGUCUUUGCUGAAAGCGGAUCGCUUAACGAAACCGAAACGGUGAAGAUACUUCCGUUCUUGGGAGUGGAAGAGGUGCACGGUACUAUCAGGGGAGCGGUGAAAUGCGUAGAUCCUGAUGGGACCACCUGUGGCGAAGGCGGUGCACUGGGACACAUCCGACAGUCAGACACGAAAGCUAGGGGAGCAAAGAGGAUUAGAUACCCUCGUAGUCCUAGCCGUAAACGAUGCGUGCUAAGUGUCGGGGGACUUAGUCUCCCGGUGCUGGAGCGAAGGCGUUAAGCGCGCCACCUGGGAAGUACGACCGCAAGGUUGAAACUUAAAGCAAUUGACGGGAGAGCACCGGAACGCGUGGAUGCUGCGGUUUAAUUGGAUUCAACGCCGGAAAUCUUACCUGGACCGUCCUAGACUGUGAAAGUCAGCCUGAUGAGCUUACUGGAGCCUAGGACUGGUGGUGCAUGGCCCAUUGCAGCUUGUGUCGUGAGAUGCGCACUUAAGUGUGUAAACAAGCGAGACCGUCACCCACAAUUACCAGCGAUUGCGCAAGCAAGAUCGGGAACUUUGUGGGGAUCGCCUGUGUCGAACAGGAUGAAAGAGACGUCCAGAUGAGGUCUGUAUGCCCCUUAUGUCCAGGGCCACACGCGGCAUACAAUGGCUAUCGCAAUGGGAUGCAACGUCGAAAGACGAAGCCAACCCCUAAUGAUAGUCUCAGUAAGAAUUGAGGACUGGAAGCGUCCUCAUGAAUGUGGAAUGCGUAGUAAGGGCGUUUCAUUAUGACGCCCUGAAUACUCCCCUGCUCUUUGUACACACCGCCCGUCGCACCAGGCGAGUCUUGUUUGGUUGAGGUCAGGCCUUCGGGCUUGAACGAUACUUGACAAGAUGAGUCGGGUGAAGUCGUAACAAGGUGUCCGUAGCGGAAGCUGCGGACGGAUCACCUCCUAA
Molecule: ribosomal RNA, 1438 nt
Filed under: Gammaproteobacteria bacterium
Lineage: Bacteria; Pseudomonadati; Pseudomonadota; Gammaproteobacteria
Description: bacterial SSU rRNA
Rfam family: Archaeal small subunit ribosomal RNA
Source: RNAcentral